ACAUAUUAUAUAUAUAUAUAAAGUAAAACAAAAGAAAAACAAAUGAAAAAUAAAAGAUAGAAAAGAAACAGAAUGAAACGAAACAGAGAGCAAGGAAGGAAAGAAAAGAAAGAAAGGGAGAAAAGGGAAAUUUUAGAUUUCAAGGUUUGAAAGUUUAAUUGUCAAUGUGGUACCGGAAAUCUCGGCUAAGAAAGGACAAGACAAAGUCAACGG
Molecule: long non-coding RNA, 213 nt
Organism: Gossypium arboreum
Lineage: Eukaryota; Viridiplantae; Streptophyta; Magnoliopsida; Malvales; Malvaceae
Exons: 2
Source: RefSeq, a predicted model, not a curated record